CUUGGUCAUUUAGAGGAAGUAAAAGUCGUAACAAGGUUUCCGUAGGUGAACCUGCGGAAGGAUCAUUAGUGAAUUGAGCUGGCUUCGGCCGCUCUGAUCUAUACACACCUGUGAACUGUUGGCCUUCGGGUCUUUAAAUACAACUGUGACGAACGUAAAUUAUUAUAACAAAUAAAACUUUUAACAACGGAUCUCUUGGCUCUCGCAUCGAUGAAGAACGCAGCGAAAUGCGAUAAGUAAUGUGAAUUGCAGAAUUCAGUGAAUCAUCGAAUCUUUGAACGCACCUUGCGCCCGUUGGUAUUCCGACGGGCAUGCCUGUUUGAGUGUCGUGAACAACCUCAACCUUGAUUGGUUUUACCAUCAAGGCUUGGACUUGGGUGUUGCUGCUGCAAAGUGGCUCGCCUUAAAUCUAUUAGCUGGACUUGUCUAUGACUUGGUUCGACUCGAUGUAAUAAGUAUUCAUCGGGGACAGGGUAACACCUGGCCAAGGCUUGAUGCCGUCUGCUUCUAAUCAUGUUCUCACUAUGAGACGCUACUUUACUGUGUGGCCUCAAAUCAGGUAGGAUUACCCGCUGAACUUAAGCAUAUCAAUAAGCGGAGGAAAAGAAACUAACAAGGAUUCCCCUAGUAACGGCGAGUGAAGCGGGAUGAGCUCAAAUUUGUAAUCUGGUGGACUCAGUUCAUCCGAAUUGUAAUCUAUAGAAAAGUUUUCCGCGCUGGACCGUGUCUAAGUCCCUUGGAACAGGGUGUCAGAGAGGGUGAGAAUCCCGUGCUUGAUACGACCACCAGUGCUAUGUGAUACUUUUUCAACGAGUCGAGUUGUUUGGGAAU
RNAcentral lists this small RNA (831 nucleotides) under uncultured Cryptococcus. RNAcentral describes it as "eukaryotic LSU rRNA". The stretch from base 546 to 831 matches the Rfam family "Eukaryotic large subunit ribosomal RNA", at positions 1 to 281 of the family's 3401-position model. The record is from RNAcentral. Lineage: Eukaryota; Fungi; Basidiomycota; Tremellomycetes.